RNAcentral lists this ribosomal RNA (391 nucleotides) under uncultured Geobacter sp. Its description in RNAcentral is "bacterial SSU rRNA". It matches the Rfam family "Bacterial small subunit ribosomal RNA", at positions 8 to 384 of the family's 1533-position model. Lineage: Bacteria; Pseudomonadati; Thermodesulfobacteriota; Desulfuromonadia; Geobacterales; Geobacteraceae. The record is from RNAcentral.
AGAGUUUGAUCCUGGCUCAGAACGAACGCUGGCGGCGUGCUUAACACAUGCAAGUCGAACGGGAUUCGGAGCUUGCUCCGAUGAGAGUGGCGCACGGGUGAGUAACGCGUGGAUAACCUGCCCUGGUAUCCGGAAUAACAUCUCGAAAGGGGUGCUAAUACCGGAUAAGCCUACGGGGUCUUCGGACUCUGCAGGAAAAGGUGGCCUCUAUUUAUAAGCUACCGUAUCAGGAUGGGUCCGCGUACCAUUAGCUAGUUGGUGGGGUAAUGGCCUACCAAGGCGACGAUGGUUAGCUGGUCUGAGAGGAUGAUCAGCCACACUGGAACUGAGACACGGUCCAGACUCCUACGGGAGGCAGCAGUGGGGAAUUUUGCGCAAUGGGGGAAACCCU